Long non-coding RNA from Gallus gallus (chicken), 3441 nucleotides. RefSeq lists it as uncharacterized. The transcript is spliced from 2 exons. The record is from RefSeq and is a predicted model, not a curated record. Lineage: Eukaryota; Metazoa; Chordata; Aves; Galliformes; Phasianidae.
CUGAGGGGCCGGGCGGGCGGCGCCCCCAGGGACGCGGAGGGGAACGGGCCCCAACCCAGGCGCAGCCACGCGUGGGCACUGUCCAGGGGGCUCAGCCCAGCGGCCUGGCACGGGGAGUGGGGCACCUGUGCAGGUGCGGUGGGGAGGUGUGCGGCUGUGCUCCGUGUGUCACAGGCGUCCGGCACUGAAAAGCAAGAAGGCAGCGUGCCUAACGGGAUGCAGCGACUCGGAACGGGCCGUGGUUGUUCUCUCACAUCCGUUUGAUUUUGGUAUUAUUUUGCUCGCAGUUGUGGUCUCCACAUAAGAGUGGUCCUCUGGAGCGGGGAGAAAAGGGUGGCUUCUCCCUUCUCAAGGCAGAUCUGGCAGCUCCCAGGAUCUCGAAAUGUCACCACAUGUUCUGAAUUGUGGGGCUCUGAAACGACUGCGGCUUUGCGUGUAGUCAGUGUUCCAAAUAAGCACUCGGUCUCAGCAAUACCAAAUAAAACACGCGGGUCCCAACUGCAUGGAGCGGAUUAGAGAUGAGAAAGCAGGCAAUACUUGCGGCUUCUCUGUUCCCGCAGUUCUAUUUAUAUUGCUCGAAAGGGAACUGCCAUCUCUCAAUGAGCUAAUACAAGUGCCGCGGUACCUAAAUACGGAGCAGCAAAUGAGAAACAAAAGCGAAACCGUAACACAGAACCCAUCCUAUGUUGCCAACGCCGUGCCGUGAGCUGGAUUUCGUACGUUGGAAUAUCCCUCUUCCUUCAUUGGGACUUUCAUCUGUAGUAGGUGAAAUGAAAGAUCCACGUGAAGCCACGCAGGUGUUGUAUCCUAUGUAGGUGUCACCAAAUCAGGUGCUUCUGUGAGGUUCCGCUGCCCUUCUCUAUGUAGGAUCGCUUCUUUUAAGGUAUGUUUUAAAGGAAUUGUGAGUACCUCAUGUUUCUUAUUACAGUAAUAACCGGGCCUAAGUCCUGCCGCCGGUACCGCACCUGAAAGUAGAUGAGGUUCUCACGUAGUUCCUUCUCCUCACUCUUCUCAUUCUUCCCCUGAGAGAGCUCUUCUUUCUCAAAAACAUGAGAUAAAACUGGGGCAAGGGCAAGCGUGCGAAGAAUUCACUUCGGACACAGAUAAGAAGAAAGGGUGAGAGAGGAGCUUAGAGACACUUAGUCACCCCAGCUGCCUUCCUUCCUCUUCCUCCUCUCCAGCAACUUCAGAACAGCAGAUUACCCCAGAACAUGGCUUGCUCACUGCAACUAGCAGAGCCUUCUGAAGGUGAAUGACAACUGAACACUGCAACUAGGUGACAAGACGGUGUGCUAAUUAAUGCUAAUGCAGUCUGCGUAGGGCUGGGACUGCGAUUUGAGGAACGCUGGGUGCUGAUGGAAUACAACGCUCACUGACUCCAUUUAAUUCCACUGAAUUAAGCAGCACUUAGAUGAACAACACUAUUACUGUUAAAUUUGCUCCCAUGCUAAAAAAGCAUUCAAAAUAUCGGUACAUGUGACAGCUGUGUCUCCACCACAUGACCAUCCUGUGCAAAGCUGAGUGCAAAAUUGUUUACAAGCAGGCGUUUCACCCACCUUCCAGAAUUAAGGUGAAAAGGAGAGACAUUAUCCGUAAUUUGGGAUGAAUAUCUUUGAAUUUAGGGAGGUCACAAAGUUGGCUCAAUUGGUGACCUGAAGUUUGCACCAUCAGGAGAUUUUGUUUUUAAGAAGCAUAAAAUGUAACUUGUUUGCUGCACGUCUCCUUAGGUAUCUGCAUAGACAGCUCAGGUUUCCUUCACUACACUGCAUUUCAAAUGCAUAAAAGCUGUUAAAUGAACGUCUGUAGGUGAAAUGGGCAAUGCAAAUGGGCAGUAAAGAUGGCUCUCCAGCUUCUGUUUGCAUUCUGAGCUUAACUAUGAGCCCUAGCUCCUGCACAGUGCAUCAUGCAAAGAAGGGUGUCAUCCAUCCCCACGUGGACAUCCCCGUUGCCACCCUCCUCUCCACUGGUUGCCAAAACCCAAAAACCACUGAAUCACAGAAUGGCUUCGGUUGGAAGGGACUUUAAAGGCCAUCCAGUUCCAGUGACAAGGGGAGGGCACGGGGUGCCUGUCACUCUGUCUUAAGUCUCUUCCACUUUGUCUCGAUGAACUUCAGAACUGAAGCACUGGAAACGCUCUCUCUUCUCACUUAAGGUGGAGAGUUCGGUGGGAACAACCAAACUCAGCAAAUAACAGAAAUGCCCCACAAGCACAGUCUGAGGUGAAUACGGCAUCUACAAAGUACACAGCUGUAAAAUCGUAGGGGCUGAAAUCCGCCACCAACUAAAGUUUUCAGUGCUCCUCAAAACAGAGAAAACCAAGCGAGUUUGGUGUUAACACCAGCCAAGCACUGAGCUGUAUAAAGUACCUGAGUUAUUCAUUUGCACUCGUGUAGAAAGUUGUUAUACGUAUUUUCCAUGCACAAAGAAAGUUUUAAAGCUCUCAGAGCUCCCACUUGUUCUGUUUUUCAAAGGACUUAAUACAAGCUCAUGACCCAGCUCCGGUCUUUACCCAGGUAAAGCUGCCUGAGGUGUCCCUGGGACUCUCCUUGGAUGAGGACUGCUGGCUGACUCCAUCACUGCAUCUUACCCGAGUGACUGAUGCCAGGCUCAAUGUGAGAAGCACCAUAUAGCAGAUUUCAUCUUGGGGAACACAGGUCACUUUGGCAUCUGUAAGCUGGAGGAUAAUAAGUUUUUUUUUUCUCCACCUCAAAAGGUGAAGGUGAGGCUGGGGUCCCAUAUGAGAUGUGGAAGUAGGGGAUAGGACUUUGUAGCCUAGACUGUGUGGGUCUGGAGUGCAGUGCCCCUGAAUGUCCCUACGAAGAGCAGAGGAUGAACCUGAUGCUUUCUGUCACUUCUGUUUGGCUCCUACUGAAGUGGGAAGAUGUUCUUCUCCAUUCAACAGUGAGCUGGGAAUUAAGGUCAGGACUUUAUAGAUACCCUAAAUUUUGCAUGGAUGAGCUCAACCCUGGCAUAGCCAAGGAGAAGCUGUGGCUCCAUGUGAUGUCAGCCAGUUGUUCCCCAGAACAGCCAUAGGAACAGCACUCCUAACCAACACCUGACCUCUCGCAGAGGUAAUCACUGUGCACACACUCCAAGCCUGCAAUGGUUUCCCUCACCCCGUUGCUCCUUUUCUACAUCAAGAGAGAGAAGGAAAGUUCUGGGCACAUUUUUCCUACCCCAUGCAGUUCCUCGCCUAAAUCUCCCUUUGUCCCCAUUUCAAGACAAAGCUCACACCGAAGAAAGUGGUCGAUAUGAUCUAUACGAAGAAGAACGAUGCGGUUCUGCCUCAAAGAUGCUGUGUUUUACCAGCAGGUUACCAGGUAAGACGACUGAGUGCUUGGACUGAAAUUGGAGGCUUGUAAAAGGAAAUGAGCGCAGUGGUUAACCUUAAAACUGCAUUCAUGUGUGUACCCUGAACAAAUGCAGCUACGGAACGAUAAA